ACUUGGAUAAUUUAAAUUAAAAUAUUGAUUUGUGGGGUCAAUUAUAUGGGCAACCAUUUUAAGUA
Molecule: transfer RNA, 65 nt
Filed under: Aporia largeteaui
Lineage: Eukaryota; Metazoa; Arthropoda; Insecta; Lepidoptera; Pieridae
Description: tRNA-His
Source: RNAcentral